RNAcentral lists this ribosomal RNA (258 nucleotides) under uncultured bacterium. RNAcentral describes it as "partial 16S ribosomal RNA". It matches the Rfam family "Bacterial small subunit ribosomal RNA", at positions 1234 to 1500 of the family's 1533-position model. The record is from RNAcentral.
CAGGUACAGAGAGAAGCCAGGUGGCGACACCGAGCGGAACUCGGAAGCCUGUCUCAGUUCGGAUCGGAGUCUGCAACCCGACUCCGUGAAGCUGGAUUCGCUAGUAAUCGCGCAUCAGCCAUGGCGCGGUGAAUACGUUCCCGGGCCUUGUACACACCGCCCGUCAAGCCAUGGAAGCCGGGAGUGCCUGAAGUAUGCAACCGCAAGGAGCGUCCUAAGGUAAAACCGGUGACUGGGGCUAAGUCGUAACAAGGUACC